RNAcentral lists this ribosomal RNA (407 nucleotides) under uncultured bacterium. Its description in RNAcentral is "partial 16S ribosomal RNA". It matches the Rfam family "Bacterial small subunit ribosomal RNA", at positions 28 to 526 of the family's 1533-position model. The record is from RNAcentral.
GACGAACGCUGGCGGCGUGCCUAAUACAUGCAAGUAGAACGCAGUUGCGAACGGGGGAGUAACGUGUAGGACACCGCCUUACAGCGGGGGAUAAAUAUUGGAAACGAUAGCUAAUACCGCAUACUGUGAGAGGGAUCCGCGUUGUAUUAGCUUGGUGGUGGGGUAAAGGCGCACCAAGGCGACGAUACAUAGCCGACCUGAGAGGGUUGUCGGCCCCACUGGGACUGAGACACUGCCCAGACUCCUACGGGAGGCAGCAGUAGGGAAUCUUCGGCAAUGGACGUAAGUCUGACCGAGCAACGCCGCGUGAGUGAAGAAGGUUUUCGGAUCGUAAAGCUCUGUUGUUAGAGAAGCGGUAACUGACCAGAAAGGGACGGCUAACUACGUGCCAGCAGCCGCGGUAAUUC